Molecule: small nucleolar RNA, 86 nt
Filed under: Schizosaccharomyces octosporus yFS286
Lineage: Eukaryota; Fungi; Ascomycota; Schizosaccharomycetes; Schizosaccharomycetales; Schizosaccharomycetaceae
Description: a. fumigatus snoRNA Afu_455
Source: RNAcentral
UAAAGUGAUGACAAAACGACGUAUACAACUGAAUAACUCAUGUUGAAUUCUGUUGUAUUUUUUUUAAGUUUCAGCCUUGUCUGAUU